GAAAGAGGAGGAGGAGGCGGAGGCGGAGCGUCUCCUCAGCCCGGCCGCGCGCACCUCUCUCCCCCCCCCCCCUCAAGAGCGAGCUCCGGCCUCGCCAAGGCGGCUCCGACGGGGCGGCGUGAGGCUGAGGAGAAGCGGCGCUGGUGCCCAGCGAGAAGGAGCUCGGGAGGCGGCUGCUGCUGCUGCUGUGGCGGCGUCUCUGGAUGGGGCCGCGGCUGGCGGGGGCUGCCUCGCGUCCGCGUCGCCAGGGGCGGCUCCUUCCUCCUCCUCCUCCUCCUCUUCUUCCUCCUCCUGAGGGGAAACCGGCCGCCUCCUCUCGCCGACGCUGCCGCGACUGAAGGAAGCAGGCUCGGGGGCGGCGGCCGCCUCUUCUUCCUCCUCGUCCUCGUUCUCCUCCUCCUCAGCCCGGUCGGGGCGGCGCCUGAGGGAGGCGUCGGCGGCGGCAGCAGCAGCGGCGUCGGCGGCGUCGGGCCUUCCUCCCGCCGGCCCCAAUGCAGCAGCAGCAGCAGCCUGACUCAGCGGCGGAGGCGCGGGAGAGGAAGAAGAUGGCGCAGCCCGCGAUGCUGCCUCGGAGGGGCGGCAGCAGCAGCGGCGGCGGCGGCGGUUUGGAGGACUUCCCGGCCGGCCUGCUUGCCCAGCCGACGCCGGCUUCCCCUGCCGCAUCCUCCGCCUCCCCCUCCGUCUCGGUCUCCUCCUGCCCUCCCGGGGCUCCUCCGCCGCAGAGCCUGGCGCUGCUCUCGCAGGGGGGAGGAGGAGGAGGCGGCGGCGGCGGCGGCGGGCCGGCGGGCGCCCAGUUGAAGAAGAAAAGCGGCUUCCAGAUCACCAGCGUGACCCCGGCGCAGAUCUCGGCCAGCCUCAGCUCCAACAACAGCAUCGCCGAAGACACCGAGAGUUACGACGACCUGGACGAGUCGCACACCGAGGACUUCUCCUCCUCCGAGAUCCUGGACGUCUCGCUCUCCCGGGCCACCGACUUGGGGGAGCCCGAGCGCAGCUCCUCCGAGGAGACGCUCAACAACUUCCACGAGGCCGACAGUCCCGGCGCCGUCUCCCCCAACCAGCCUCGCCCGGCCCAGCAGCCCCGAGGGCUGACCAACGGCAGCGCCCACCCGCCGCACAUGCCCCACUAUCCCCAAGGGGGGCACCCCCAGCCCCCCUCCCAUGCCGGGGUCCCCCCACCGAUGUCGGGGGGAUCUCCAUCCAGCCCGUCUUUCCGAAGGCUGCCCGUCGCGGGAAGCUUGGAGAGGCCUGGUCCUGCAGGAGCAUCCUCCGUGGCGGCCCUUGCGGGGGCCACCGUGGCUCACUUCCAUGCGGGGGCCACUUCUGUUGGGGGAGCCGUGGGCGGUGCAGCGAGUGGCAGGGCCCGCCAGGUGGGCAAGACCCUCACGAACCUUGCUGCUGCUGGCAACGGCAUGGCCUUGCCUGGAGGGGGCCACCCUGGGAACGUGGCGCACUCUGGCGGGAUCGGCAACGGCAACGGAGCCUCCUCAAACGCCUCCGGUCAUCCAGCCGCAGGGGCCACGGCAACGGGUCACCUGCAGCCGGCCGGCACCACCUCCCGUUUCCGUGUGGUGAAAUUAGAUUCAAGUUCGGAGCCGUUUAAGAAAGGCCGAUGGACUUGUACCGAGUUCUAUGACAAGGAGAAUCCCGGGGCGGUGGCUGAAAGUGCUCCCGUGGCUAAAACAGUGGACACUCUCCUAGACGUGGCCUCCGAAAGGGAAAGUACCAGCGGGAGCUCGGUCAGUAGCACCCUGAGCCACUACACCGAGAGCGUGGGCAGCGGGGAGAUCGGGGCGCCUCCUGGGACGCAGCUGCAAGGGUUUCAAGGUGUGCCUCAGCAGAUGGAAUUCAGCAGCGCCGGAGGGCCCCCAGCGUCAGCACCAGGGCUCCCCCAGAGUAUGUCUCAAUCCCAGCUCUCCCAAGUCCAGCCGCAUCCUCAAGAGGUCAGCUACCCUCCGCAGAAGCAAGGGGUCCCCCCUCCCGCCUCGGCCGUUCCUCCUCCGUUGACCGUUGUUGGUGGCCAUCAACCAACUCUGCCGUUCACCCCACCGCCGGCCCAGCCGGUCCCUACAGUUCCAGUCGCUGCACAGCCCCAGCAGUUACCGUUUGGGCAGGGACAGGCUCAGCACCCCACCGCCCUGCCGCCCAUGCCUAUGCAGAUGGCUCCAGGGCAGCAUGUGAAGCCCGUUGCCCAAGCUUCAUUGCCCGAGUACAUCCAGCCGCCGCAGAUGCUUCCAGCUUCUUCUUUGCAGCCUGGGACGGCAAUCGUCGGAAGCGGUUCAGCCGUGCCCAUCGCUCAGCCUUCGAAUAUGCAGCUUCCUGUCCAGACACACGUCCCGGUGGUACCUUCUCAGCCUGUGGCGCAGGCCCAUCCCGCCAUCCCAGCCGUAGGUGCUCCCUCUGCGCUGAUGAAUGCUGGACAGCCAGGAAGCGUCGCUCCCGUGGCCCAGCGGCCCUCCGUUGCAAGUCAGAUUGCUCCUUCCGUGCUGGCCCCCAGUGUUGCUGUUCCUGCACCCUCCCAAGCAGCCCCAGGAUCCCAAAGUGUUCCAUCAGGCCUUCCUCAGACUUUGGGCAUCCCACCACCGAGCAACCUGAUGCCCAUGCAAGCCGCUGAUCCUCUGGUUCAAGGAAUGGCCCAGUUGCCUCCUGUUAGCCCAAUCCCUUCUGUCAGCACUGCUCCUGUGCCCGGCCACUCGGCUUCUAGCAUUGCCCCUGCGCCCGUGAGCCUGGCUCCUUCCAAGACCCUCGCCCAGCCUUCAAGUAUGCAAAAUGGGAGCCUGGUCCAAAAUGCCUCUCAGCCUGCCUUGCUUUCCACGGGCGUCCAUUUGCCGGGAGCCCCCAACUCUUCCCAGUUCUCCUCCCAGUCCCUCGCUCAGUCUAUCGCGAGCCGAACUGAAGAGGCCAAGCGCCCUACGACGGAGUCCAUCCUGGCUGGCUUAACCCAGCCUUCUGGUGGCGCUGAAACCUCCUCCGCCUUGGCAGAUGGCAGCAUGGUUUCGUCUCUCUUCCCCCUGAAGGUACUUCCGCUGGCCGCUCUGGAUGGCGAGGAAGACAGAAAUUGGCUGACUAUCUCAUCAGCAGGAGAGAGUGAAGGAAACUUCUGGAAAUUAUCCAGGGCAGGUGACAGAAGAACCAUCGGAGGGGAUAGGAAAUGACAGCAUUGUCAAAUUGGGCCUUUUCUAAACAAAGUGACCUUGGAUUUGGUAUUAUGCCAGCAAUUCAAUAAAACACUCUAGUUUCCAGCAUUCCCAAGGGGCACAUGGAUCAAAAUUCAGCACUUGGCAACUGACAUGAACUUAAGACUGUUGCAGCGUUCCAGAUUCAUAUACAUAAAAUCAUCAAAUGCUACAUAUAAAAUACGUAUUAUACAUGUUAAGCAUUUAAACAAUUUUAUCUACUUGAUGUCCAUUACUAAUGUUAUAUUGUUUCAUUUUUUUCAAUAUUCUGGCUCCAUUUUUAAACAAUGAACCUGGACAGUUUUCUUGUUUUCUUCCAAAGACUGAGAAUUGAGAAGUUUUGUUAAGUGAUCAUUUAGAUCAGGGGUCUCCAACCUUGGAAACUUUAAGCCUGGCAGACUCCAACUCCCAGAAUUCCCCAGCCAGCAAAACUUGCCAAGGUUGGAGACCCCGAUUUAGAUGUUAAAAGCUAAGCAAACAAGGUUUGGUUUGUGUCUGUAAACAUGGUUGGCACGUGUUGUGGUUGAUUCCUAAUUGUAAUGGUCCAGAACAAUUUAGCAGGUUUGUAUGUGUGUGUGUGUGGACAGUGACCACAACAUCUGGCCCUUGAAACAUCUGGUAGUUCUUGCUAGAGCUACCAAUAAAAUUGUGAAAAAAGAUUAAGGGCAUAUCCAGGAGAGAAAUACAUAAUUUGCAUGGAGAAAUUUCCUUUUUAAAGAUACUUCCUUAGCAUUUCCAAGUUCUAAAAAAAACAGAAAAGAAAUUUGUAGCUCCAGUAAUUUAAUUUCAUGUAUUGCAACUUCAGCAGGUAAAUUUUAUCCAAGUUAAUUCUUGAAUCUGUUCCCAUCGACAGCUGUCAUCCAUAGUUAGCAUAUGUGAGUCCAGAUUAAUCCUUCCAUCUCAUUCUUCUAUUCAUUUUCCUGGAUUUUAUGUUUUCUGGAAUAGUUUUCCACAAAGCUGUGCAGCUGAAGUUGCAAACAGAAAAUAUUCACGUGUUACUGCAAUAUUUAUUUAACCAGAAACGUAUUUCAUUUUGAAUCAAGUGUUUCCUUGAUUCACAAAUAAUGUACAUUUAAUUUUCUGUUGGUGACCAACAAAAUUUGAAAAAAAAAAUACAACAUCAAAAUGAUAUCAAAUAGAUGAAAUAAAAUAUUAGCAUAACAAAGAUAAAAUAACAAAAUGUAACUAGUAAAAUGGUAUAAUGAUUACCCAUGCAAGAGGAAAUCUAAAAUAUUACAAUCUAUGAAGUAAAAUCUACGUAAUCUAAAACAAGAUAGCUAGCGUGAACAGGUAAUCCUUGACUUAUGACUGUAAUUGAGCCCAGAAUUAUAAGUCAUUGCUGUCAUUGAGCAGGUCAUCACAUGACCAGAUCCCAUUUUAUCAAAUUGAUUGUGGCCAUCAAACGAAUGCUACAAUUGUUAAAAGAAUCCAUUUUACCCUAAGAUAAACCAGAAGUAAAUGCUGGAAACUGGCAAAGAAAAUCAAAAAUGAUGUUUGUGUGACUGAAUGUGUGGAAUUGCCAAGCAAAAAGUCACUGGGUUCAUCUUACUCAUUUUUUGAUUAAGUGACAUCAUCAAUAGAUUGUGUGAAUGCUUCAGACAUAAUAUAUCUUGACUUCAGUCGCUGAUGAGUGCAUGUUGAAUGGCAUGACAAGUGGGUAGAGGAUAUUGAGAUUGGGUUGAAGGGUUUACAAUGAUCCCGUGAAGAUCAUAUGAAACUCUACUAGCGGUUUACAAAGCUUUAGUAAGACCACAUUUGGACUAUUGCAUCCAGUUCUGGAUACCACAAUACGAAAAGGAUGUUGAGACUCUGGAAAGAGUGCAGAGAAGAGCAACAAGAAUCAUUAGGGGGCUGGAGGCUUAAAAAUAUGGAGAAUGGUGACAGGAAUUGGGUUUGUCUAGUAUAACAAAUAGGAGGACUAGGGGUGAU
Molecule: RNA transcript, 5105 nt
Organism: Ahaetulla prasina
Lineage: Eukaryota; Metazoa; Chordata; Lepidosauria; Squamata; Colubridae
Gene: TSC22D1
Gene name: TSC22 domain family member 1
Exons: 3
Source: RefSeq, a predicted model, not a curated record